This is a non-coding RNA of Pelobates cultripes (western spadefoot toad), 276 nucleotides long. NCBI's taxonomy places the organism in Eukaryota, Metazoa, Chordata, Amphibia, Anura, Pelobatidae. The record is from the annotation of a GenBank genome assembly.
CCCUAGUCUCCCAGUGUCCCCUAGUAUAAAAGAAGAAAACUCAGGCACUCACUGUGAUAGAUUUAAGCAGGUUUAUUGGACACUGCAACGUUUUGACCUGUACACAGGUCUUUAUCAAGUUUCCAGUGUCCCCUAUAUAUCACAAUGUCCCCUAUGUAUCACAGUGUCUCAGUGCCACAUGUCUCCCAGUGUGCCUGGUGUCUCUCAGUGUCCGUAGUGUCUCAGUACCCCCUAACCUCCCAGAGUCCCCAUGUCUUACAGUGCCGCCAAGUGUCU